GAUGAAGAACGUAGCGAAAUGCGAUAAGUAAUGUGAAUUGCAGAAUUCAGUGAAUCAUCGAAUCUUUGAACGCACAUUGCGCCCGCCAGCAUUCUGGCGGGCAUGCCUGUUCGAGCGUCAUUUCAACCCUCGCAGCCCAUCUGGGCAGCGGUGUUGGGGACCGGCACCACCGACGAAGCCCUUAGGGGCCCAGCCGGCGCCGCCCCCGAAAUACAGUGGCGGUCUCGCUGCAGCCUCCCUUGCGUAGUAGCACACCUCGCACCGGAGCGCAGCGCGGCCACGCCGUAAAACCCCCGACUUUCUGAGUUUGACCUCGAAUCAGGUAGGAAUACCCGCUGAACUUAAGCAUAUCAAUAAGCGGAGGA
Molecule: unclassified non-coding RNA, 365 nt
Filed under: soil metagenome
Description: partial contains 5.8S ribosomal RNA, internal transcribed spacer 2, and large subunit ribosomal RNA
Rfam family: 5.8S ribosomal RNA (bases 1-120)
Source: RNAcentral